This 712-nucleotide ribosomal RNA is filed under the name uncultured Serratia sp. RNAcentral's name for it is "bacterial SSU rRNA". It matches the Rfam family "Bacterial small subunit ribosomal RNA", at positions 768 to 1480 of the family's 1533-position model. The record is from RNAcentral. Lineage: Bacteria; Pseudomonadati; Pseudomonadota; Gammaproteobacteria; Enterobacterales; Yersiniaceae.
GCAAACGGGAUUAGAUACCCUGGUAGUCCACGCUGUAAACGAUGUCGAUUUGGAGGUUGUGCCCUUGAGGCGUGGCUUCCGGAGCUAACGCGUUAAAUCGACCGCCUGGGGAGUACGGCCGCAAGGUUAAAACUCAAAUGAAUUGACGGGGGCCCGCACAAGCGGUGGAGCAUGUGGUUUAAUUCGAUGCAACGCGAAGAACCUUACCUACUCUUGACAUCCAGAGAACUUUCCGGAGAUGGAUUGGUGCCUUCGGGAACUCUGAGACAGGUGCUGCAUGGCUGUCGUCAGCUCGUGUUGUGAAAUGUUGGGUUAAGUCCCGCAACGAGCGCAACCCUUAUCCUUUGUUGCCAGCGGUUCGGCCGGGAACUCAAAGGAGACUGCCAGUGAUAAACUGGAGGAAGGUGGGGAUGACGUCAAGUCAUCAUGGCCCUUACGAGUAGGGCUACACACGUGCUACAAUGGCAUAUACAAAGAGAAGCGACCUCGCGAGAGCAAGCGGACCUCAUAAAGUAUGUCGUAGUCCGGAUUGGAGUCUGCAACUCGACUCCAUGAAGUCGGAAUCGCUAGUAAUCGUAGAUCAGAAUGCUACGGUGAAUACGUUCCCGGGCCUUGUACACACCGCCCGUCACACCAUGGGAGUGGGUUGCAAAAGAAGUAGGUAGCUUAACCUUCGGGAGGGCGCUUACCACUUUGUGAUUCAUGACUGGGG